RNA transcript from Gopherus flavomarginatus (Mexican gopher tortoise), 3016 nucleotides. It is a transcript of the gene named RAB25, member RAS oncogene family, with no coding region annotated. The record is from RefSeq and is a predicted model, not a curated record. The transcript has 6 exons. Lineage: Eukaryota; Metazoa; Chordata; Testudines; Testudinidae.
CAGCCAGCCCAGCAGAGCUGCACCUUCAACCUGCCUAGCAAGGAUCUACUCCCUGCCCGGCCCCCUUGAAAAGAGGCCUAAGAAGCAGGGGGCUGGCUAUUAUUUUUUGUUUGUUUGGCUGGUGCAGCAAAGGGAACUUGGCCCUGUGGGUCUCCUCCCCCACUGGCAACUCUCCUCCCAAUUGCUUUCAACUUCCCUGUCUUGGGAGGAAAUUUUGUCCUCCACCUUCCUGGUUUAUCAGAUCGUGGCAAAAAAAAAAAAUCAAACAAACCCCCACCCCCACCCCCUGGCUGUUAAGGAAGCAGGCAAAGACUGAGAGGAGGAUCCCAGGCCGGAGGGGGCCAGGUGUGGCUGGGAGAGAUGGGGACAGCGGAGGAGGAUUAUAACUUUGUCUUUAAGGUGGUCCUGAUUGGCGAGUCUGGUGUGGGGAAGACCAAUCUGCUCUCGCGCUUCACCCGCAAUGAAUUCAACCAUGACAGCCGUACCACCAUUGGCGUGGAGUUCUCCACCCGCACCAUCCUGGUGGGCAACGCCAUGGUGAAGGCACAGAUCUGGGACACCGCCGGGCUGGAGCGCUACCGUGCCAUCACCUCAGCGUAUUACAGGGGAGCAGUGGGCGCCCUCCUGGUUUUUGACAUCACCAAGCACCAGACCUACGACGUGGUGGAGCGCUGGCUGAAGGAGCUGUACGACCACGCCGAGGCCACCAUCAUCGUCAUGCUGGUGGGCAACAAGACAGACUUAGCCCAGGCCCGUGAGGUGCCGACCGAGGAGGCCAAGAUGUUUGCAGAAAACAAUGGGCUUCUGUUCAUCGAGACGUCUGCGCUGGACUCCACAAACGUCGAGCAGGCCUUCGAGACCAUACUGAGAGACAUUUUCAACAAAGUGCAGAAGCAGCAGCAGAGAAGCCCCCAGGACAACACGGUGUCGCUCUCCAGCGAGAACCCCCACGGCACCUCCCAGACCCAGGAGGAGAAGCGAGCGUGCUGCGUGAGCCUCUGAGAGCAGGGUGGGAGCCGGGCCGGGACUCGCCGUGGAGGCAUGAGCCCCUCCAUCUGCUUUGCUUUCUGACCAGGAGGAAUGCCCGUCCCCUCCCUCAACGCCUCGUAACUGCACCAAGCCAGGCCGGGGCUGGGCGACGGAAACACGUCUGCAAUUGAUCGGUCCCUUCGCUCCCUCCGCAAAGCUGUUACCCACCCCACACCUUGCAGGCAGCACCACUAGAGAAGGGGAUGCUGCAUAACCAGACCUCUGCCCCCUGGAGUCUGCCAAGCCACAGCAGGGGGAAUCUAGGUGGGAGGGGGGUCAGCUAGCCAAACUUCCCCCCAGCAGAGAUGAAGUCAGCCAUAGGAUCACACCCAUCUAUCUUAGUUACCUGAUCCUAUUACCACAGUGUCAGAGCAUCUUUUUAAAUGAAUUUAUCCUCGCAACCCUCUGUGGGAUAGGGCAGUGCUAUUAUCCCCAGUGUACAGAUGGGGAAACCGAGGCACAGGGAGACUAGGUGACAUGCCCAGGGUCACACAGGGCAUCUGUGGCAGAGCUGGGAAUUGAACCUGGGUCUCCCAAAUUCCAGGCUAGCGCCUUAACAGCUAGGCAGUCCUUCCUCUCUUCCUGCAGCCAUGAGGUUUCAAGGAAGGAAUUUAAAUAUCAAUAUAUUGGUCUGAUCCUGCCAUUGGAUCCACACAUGCUCCGAAUCUGGCCUCAACGCCGCUCAGCUCAGUGGGGCUUGCACCAGAUUCACACAGCUGCAUCUGAGGUCAGAAUCCAGCCCUCCCUGUCGAAGUCAGUGGAGGGUGCGGCCACAUGGCUCCAAUUCCAGGAUCGGAGCCACGAUUUUCACCCAGAUGCUGCUGCUUUAAACAUCCUGUCCAUUUCGCUGUCUCCCAUAACCUGUUCGUUCACCUAGUGGCAUGCGUACCUUACCGCUGUCCUCGCCCCUGGGUACCGAAUCACUUUCUCUGAAUAGACAGCCUCUAAAAAUACGCCCUGUACAGAAUGGCAAUACAGGAGUGAAGAGAAAGCAGACAUCUCGAGUUCCAGGGCUUGGGUUGCCUAAUUAGUCUUACCUUGGGCUUCAGCCUUGCUUUAAGGUCUGAGAUCUUGGAGAUGGGAGGGUGAAAUUGAGAGAGGAACUCUGUUAAAAUAACCCAGUGAAGGGCUUAGAUUUCAGAGGGGCUGAGCAUGCCUCCAGCUGGAAUUGUGACCACCUCACCAAAUCAUCCCUUCCGUCAAUAUACACUGAACAUGGGGCAACUGACUUCUGGCUGCUAUGGACUUGACCCAAAGCCCCUUGAUGUCACCAGGGUUCUCCCCAUGGAGUUCAAUGGGCUUUGGAUCCUGUUUAUAGAGAACGAAGUUGCGGGGGAGGAGGGGUUUGCUUGUAAUUAAUGGUUGAACGUCUGAGCUCUUCACGGGACCUCGACUGGAUUGUGAUCUCUGGGCAACCUGGGGAAGCCGGAGUCAUGUGCUGAUUUCAGUGGAGCAAAUCCACAGACACCAGAAUCUGGCCCUAUUGUCACUGAAGUCAAUGGGCCAUGUCUCAGCUGGUGUAAAUUGGCAAAACUCCACCCAAGUCAUGCGGAUAUACACCCACCAGGUGGGUUGACUCUGGCUCCGUGUGUGUCAAUGUAUCCGAGAUCAGACUCGGCCCACCACCGCUGGAGUUAGUGGGUUGACUCUGGAUUUGUACUGGUGUAUCUGGGAUCAGAAUCUGGCCAAUUGGAGGCCGUGGAGGUGCCUCUGGAUUUACACCAGUGCAAUUUAACUCAUCGGGGCAGAUUCUGUGCUGAGACAGAAACACUAAAUCCCUGUUAUGCCUCUCGUUCUUGUCUAAACGUGGCUUUUGCCUGCUGUUAAUCUAACCGCAGCAUCUUGUGACCAUCUGAAUUCAGUGGGAAUUAUUUAUAUGAUCGCUGGAGCAGGGCUGGAUCUUUUUGUACAGAUUGUCUCACGAGCAGCCCUGGCAAGGAAGUGUGCGUGAUGUGAUGGACUAUAGGACCCUGUCCCAAACAUUAAA